Molecule: ribosomal RNA, 1386 nt
Filed under: Triticum aestivum (bread wheat)
Lineage: Eukaryota; Viridiplantae; Streptophyta; Magnoliopsida; Poales; Poaceae
Description: partial small subunit ribosomal RNA
Source: RNAcentral
AUGGAGGUGGAGACUGUGAUGCCUCCUCCGGCGGCCGGGCUGGACCGCGUGGACUCUGCCGCGCGGGAGCCGACUCACACGGAGUCCUCCUUGCCGUCGCCGGCGGCUGGAGGCGGCGCGAAUGGCGCGGCGACCAAGGUGCAGAAGGUCUACCGGAGCUACCGGACCAGGCACAAGCUCGCCGACUCCGCCGUCGUCGUCGAGGAGCUCUGGUGGGAAGCGCUGGACUUCGCGCGGCUAAACCACAGCACCGUCUCCUUCUACGACGACCCGGAGCCGGAGACCGCCGCCUCGCGCUGGAACCGCGUCAGCCUCAAUGCAUCCAAGGUGGGUCAGGGUUUAUCCAAGGAUGCCAAGGCUCUUAAGCUGGCUUUCCAGCACUGGAUCGAGGCUAUUGAUCCAAGACAUAGGUACGGGCACAACCUGCAUUUCUACUAUGAUGCCUGGUGCCAAACCCAGGCUGGCCAGCCCUUCUUCUACUGGCUCGAUAUUGGUGAGGGAAAAGAUAUAGAGCUUCCAGAAUGUUCAAGGGCUCUGCUGAAAAAGCAAUGCAUAAGAUAUCUUGGUCCACAAGAGCGUGAGUACUAUGAAUACAUCAUUAAAGAGGGAAAGAGUGUCCACAAGAUAUCUGGAGAACCACUUGAUACAAGCCAGGGCUCUAAAGGGACAAAAUGGAUUUUUGUUAUGAGCACAGCAAAGAAACUUUAUGCUGGGCAGAAAGAGAGAGGUGUAUUCCAGCACUCCAGCUUUUUAGCAGGAGGUGCAACUAUAGCUGCUGGAAGGUUUACGGCAGAAAAUGGAGUUAUCAAGUCCAUCUGGGCCUAUAGUGGACAUUACAAGCCGAGUGCGGAGAACCUUACCAACUUCAUGAGCUUUCUAGAAGAAAAUGGAGUUGAUCUGAAAGAAGUUGAGGUGCGCUCAUCCACCAAGGAAGACUACUAUGAAGAUCCAGUGCCUAAUAUCAAAGAGAACCCUGCUGCUGCUGCCAUGAUGGCAUCCAAUACUCCACAGUUGAAACUGCCUUCCAACAUGGUACCAGAAGACAAGGCAUCUGGGCCAUCUCCACAGACUGAAGCUGACGAGGACAAUAAUGUCCGUGUGGAGCAAACAAGGUCAGCCUACCAAAGAACCUUAUCAGGUGGCCUGCAAAGUCAUCUUGAUGCGGUCGUCUCGCAGGAUGCAAUUCUUGAGAGGGUAAAUUCCAAGAGCAGGUCAAAAUCCUAUCAGCUCGGCCACAGGCUAUCCCUGAAAUGGAGCACUGGAAAUGGUCCAAGAAUUGGGUGCGUGAAGGAUUAUCCGAUAGAGCUCAGAAUGCAAGCGCUAGAGAUGGUACAACUCUCACCGAGGGCAUCGACUCCUCCAGCCUCGUGGAGGGUGCCAUCAUGA